RNAcentral lists this long non-coding RNA (1811 nucleotides) under Triticum aestivum (bread wheat). RNAcentral's name for it is "long non-coding RNA (TAES_LNC014854)". Lineage: Eukaryota; Viridiplantae; Streptophyta; Magnoliopsida; Poales; Poaceae. The record is from RNAcentral.
CUGGUUUUUCAAUACAGAAAUCAUGAAUUGAAUUAGAUUUGCGUGAACUAAAGACUUAAAUCCAGAUGAACUAAUUUUGAUGAACUAAGUUUGGAUUCAGUGAACUAAACUUUGAGAUAAUGAUGAGUAUUUCAAGUGAACUGAAUAUGAAUCUAGUGAACUAGACUUGUGAUUUGAUGACCCCCAAAAUUUGAACUUAGUGAGCUAGAUUUGCGUGAACUAAAAACUUGAAUGUUUUUUAGUGAACUAAACUUUAAGAUUACGAUGAGAAUUGUGGUGAACUGAAUGUGAAUCUAGUGAACUAAAAUUAUGAUUUGAUGAACCGAAUUUGAACUUGGUGAACUGAAUUAUCAAUGUAUAAUUUGGUUUUUAAAAAAAGUUCACUAAAGGAAAAAACAACUGGCCUGGUUUUUCAAUACAGAAAUCAUGAAUUGAAUUAGAUUUGCGUGAACUAAAAACUUGAAUCCAGAUGAACUGAAUUUGAAUUCAGUGAACUAAACUUUGAUAUUUUGAUGAGUAUUGAAGUGAACUAAAUAUGAGUCUAGUGAACUAAAAUUAUGAUUUGAUGAACUAAAAUUGAACUUGGUGAACUAGAUUUGCGUGAACUAAAAACUUGAAUCCAGAUGAACUAAUUUAGAUGAACUAAAUUUGAAUUCUGUGAACUAAACUUUGAGAUUAUGAUGAGUAUUGAAAUGAACUAAAUAUGAGUCUAGUGAACUAGAUUAUCGGUGUUGUAGAACCGAAUACGGAUUUGGUUCAUUAUAAUCUGACUGUUGAUGAACAAAUUCUGAAUUCGAUUAAACAACUUUUAUUUCCCAUGAAAUAUAAUAAAAUAAAAAACAACUAACAGGGUUUUCAUUGCAAAUUUCAUGAACUAAAUUUUUAAUCGAAAUUAUAUAAAACUAAUUUAAUGAACUAAAUUUUGAAUGCAAAUUAUAUAAAAUUAAAUGAAUUGAAUUAGAUGGUGUUUUUUAGUGAACUAAAGUUUAAGAUUAUGAUGAGAAUUGUGGUGAACUGAAUGUGAAUCUAGUGAACUAAAAUUAUAAUUUGAUGAACCGAAUUUGAACUUGGUGAACUGAAUUAUCAAUGUAUAAUUUGGUUUUUUAAAAAAAUCACUAAAAUAAAAAACAACUGGUCUGGUUUUGAAUACAUAAAUCAUGAAAUGAAUUAUAUUUCCAUGAGCUAAAACUUGAAUCCAUAUGAAUAAAUUUAGAUGAACUGAAUUUGAAUUCAGUGAACUGAACUUUGAGAAUAUGAUGAGUAUCGAAGUGAACUAAAUAUGAGUCUACUGAACUAAAAUUAUGAUUUGAUGACCCCCAAAAUUUGAAGUUGGUGAACUAGAUUUGGGUGAAUUAAAAACUUGAAUCCAGGUGAACAUAUUUUAAUGAACUGAAUUAGAUGGUGUUUUUAGUGAACUAAACUAUAAGAUUAUGAUGAGAAUUGUGGUGAACUAAAUGUGAAUCUAGUGAACUAAAAUUAUGAUUUGAUGAACCGAAUUUGAACUUGGUGAACUGAAUUAUCAAUGUAUAAUUUGUUUUUUUUUAAAAAAGUUCACUAAAAUAAAAAACAACUGGCCUGGUUUUUCAAUACAGAAAUCAUGAAUUGAAUUAGAUUUGCGUGAACUAAAAACUUGAAUCCAGAUGAACUAAUUUUGAUGAACUGAAUUUGAAUUCAGUGAACUAAAUUUGAGAUUAUGACGAGUAUAUCAAGUGAACUGAAUAUGAAUCUAGUGAACUAAAAUUAUGAUUUGAUGAACCGAAUUUGAACAUGGUGACUUGAAUUAUCAAUGUAUAAUUUGUUUUUUUUAAAUC